GCAUAACAAGCACUUCCACCGCCAUUCUCCGCAUCUCACAUAAUCAUCUUUGAUCCUCAAUGAUCAUUCAUUUUUCCCUUGCUUCACUCGCAAGUUACCACAUUCACUAGCCCUUUUUCUCAUGCUAGGCAUAUCAUAAUGAUUUAAGACAUAAGUGGUGAGAUCGGAGGCUUAGAAGUAUGAAAUUUGGCUUUUAAAACUCAAAAAUCAACUUUGGGAUGAAAACAGGGCCACGCGUAC
Molecule: long non-coding RNA, 240 nt
Filed under: Arachis ipaensis
Lineage: Eukaryota; Viridiplantae; Streptophyta; Magnoliopsida; Fabales; Fabaceae
Description: long non-coding RNA (AIPA_LNC002201)
Source: RNAcentral